RNAcentral lists this ribosomal RNA (301 nucleotides) under uncultured bacterium. RNAcentral's name for it is "partial 16S ribosomal RNA". It matches the Rfam family "Bacterial small subunit ribosomal RNA", at positions 509 to 807 of the family's 1533-position model. The record is from RNAcentral.
CAGCCGCCGCGGGAAUACAGAGGGUGCGAGCGUUAAUCGGAUUUACUGGGCGUAAAGCGUGCGUAGGCGGCUUUUUAAGUCGGAUGUGAAAUCCCUGAGCUUAACUUAGGAAUUGCAUUCGAUACUGGGAAGCUAGAGUAUGGGAGAGGAUGGUAGAAUUCCAGGUGUAGCGGUGAAAUGCGUAGAGAUCUGGAGGAAUACCGAUGGCGAAGGCAGCCAUCUGGCCUAAUACUGACGCUGAGGUACGAAAACAUGGGGAGCAAACAGGAUUAGAUACCCGAGUAGUCCCUGUCUCUUAUAC